Non-coding RNA from Trichonephila clavipes, 68 nucleotides. The record is from the annotation of a GenBank genome assembly. NCBI's taxonomy places the organism in Eukaryota, Metazoa, Arthropoda, Arachnida, Araneae, Nephilidae.
GCCAGUAUAGCGGAUAUGACCUUCGGCUUAUAAUCGAGUGCGUUCGGGUUCGAAUCCCGAGUAAGGCU